This 84-nucleotide transfer RNA is filed under the name Klebsiella aerogenes. RNAcentral's name for it is "tRNA-Lys". It matches the Rfam family "tRNA". From Rfam's summary of the family: Transfer RNA (tRNA) molecules are approximately 80 nucleotides in length. The record is from RNAcentral. Lineage: Bacteria; Pseudomonadati; Pseudomonadota; Gammaproteobacteria; Enterobacterales; Enterobacteriaceae.
GGGUCGUUAGCUCAGUUGGUAGAGCAGUUGACUUUUAAUCAAUUGGUCGCAGGUUCGAAUCCUCGAAUCCUGCACGACCCACCA